This 497-nucleotide ribosomal RNA is filed under the name uncultured bacterium. RNAcentral's name for it is "partial 16S ribosomal RNA". It matches the Rfam family "Bacterial small subunit ribosomal RNA", at positions 28 to 507 of the family's 1533-position model. The record is from RNAcentral.
GAUGAACGCUGGCGGCGUGCCUAAUACAUGCAAGUCGAGCGAACGGACGAGAAGCUUGCUUCUCUGAUGUUAGCGGCGGACGGGUGAGUAACACGUGGAUAACCUACCUAUAAGACUGGGAUAACUUCGGGAAACCGGAGCUAAUACCGGAUGAUAUUUUGAACCGCAUGGUUCAAAAGUGAAAGACGGUCUUGCUGUCACUUAUAGAUGGAUCCGCGCUGCAUUAGCUAGUUGGUAAGGUAACGGCUUACCAAGGCAACGAUGCAUAUCCUACCUGAAGGGGUGAUCAGUCACAAUCGAGCUGAUACACGGUCCAGACUCCUACGUGAGGCAGCGGUAUGGAAUCGUCCGCUAAGAGCGAAUGCGAGAGGGAAUCACGCCGCGUGAGUGAUGAGGGUCUUCGGAUCGUAAAACUCUGUUAUUAGGGAGGAACAUAUGAGUAAGUAGCUGUGCAAAUCUUUACGAUAUCUAAUCAGAAAGCCACGACUAACUACAGG